RNAcentral lists this ribosomal RNA (478 nucleotides) under uncultured bacterium. RNAcentral's name for it is "partial 16S ribosomal RNA". It matches the Rfam family "Bacterial small subunit ribosomal RNA", at positions 28 to 523 of the family's 1533-position model. The record is from RNAcentral.
GACGAACGCUGGCGGCGUGCUUAACACAUGCAAGUCGAACGGUAAGGCCCUUCGGGGUACACGAGUGGCGAACGGGUGAGUAACACGUGGGUGAUCUGCCCUGCACUUCGGGGUAAGCCUGGGAAACUGGGUCUAAUACCGGAUAGGACCCUGGGAUGCAUGUCCUGGGGUGGAAAGCUUUUGCGGUGUGGGAUGGGCCCGCGGCCUAUCAGCUUGUUGGUGGGGUGAUGGCCUACCAAGGCGACGACGGGUAGCCGGCCUGAGAGGGUGACCGGCCACACUGGGACUGAGAUGCGGCCCAGACUCCUACGGGAGGCAGCAGUGGGGGAUAUUGCACAAUGGGCGCAAGCCUGAUGCAGCGACGCCGCGUGAGGGAUGACGGCCUUCGGGUUGUAAACCUCUUUCAGCACCGACGAAGCGCAAGUGACGGUAGGUGCAGAAGAAGGACCGGCCAACUACGUGCCAGCAGCCGCCGUAA